UACGAAGGGUGCUAGCGUUGUUCGGAAUUACUGGGCGUAAAGCGCGCGUAGGCGGCUUAACAAGUCAGGGGUGAAAUCCUGGGGCUCAACCCCAGAAUUGCCUUUGAAACUGUUAAGCUUGAGUGUCGGAGGGGAUAGCGGAAUUGCUAAUGUAGAGGUGAAAUUCGUAGAUAUUAGCAGGAACACCGGUGGCGAAGGCGGCUAUCUGGACGACAACUGACGCUGAGGCGCGAAAGCGUGGGGAUCAAACAGG
RNAcentral lists this ribosomal RNA (253 nucleotides) under uncultured bacterium. Its description in RNAcentral is "partial 16S ribosomal RNA". It matches the Rfam family "Bacterial small subunit ribosomal RNA", at positions 524 to 776 of the family's 1533-position model. The record is from RNAcentral.